GGGCAUUGGCGCGUGCUAAUAAUGCAGUCGAGCGAAUGGAUUAAGAUCUUGCUCUUAUGAAGUUAGCGGCGGACGGGUGAUUAACACGUGGGUAACCUGCCCAUAAGACUGGGAUAACUCCGGGAAACCGGGGCUAAUACCGGAUAACAUUUUGAACCGCAUGGUUCUAAAUUGAAAGGCGGCUUCGGCUGUCACUUAUGGAUGGACCCGCGUCGCAUUAGCUAGUUGGUGAGGUAACGGCUCACCAAGGCAACGAUGCGUAACCGACCUGAGAGGGUGAUCGGCCACACUGGGACUGAUACACGGCCCAGACUCCUACGGGAGGCAGCAGUAGGGAAUCUUCCGCAAUGGACGAAAGUCUGACGGAGCAACGCCGCGUGAGUGAUGAAGGCUUUCGGGUCGUAAAACUCUGUUGUUAGGGAAGAACAAGUGCUAGUUGAAUAAGCUGGCACCUUGACGGGACCUAACCAAAAAGCCACGGCUAACUACGUGCCAACAGCCGCGGGAAUACCUAAGUGGGAAUCCGUAUCCAAAAAUAUUGGGCAUAAAUCGCGCGCACGCGCGUUUUAUUAAUUCUGAUUUGUAAACUCGCGGGUCUAACCCCCCAGGGGGAUUUUAAAAUGGGAAAAAUUGGAGCGCAAAAGGCGGAGAGCGCCUCCCCAUGUAUCCCUGUAAUGUGCGGAGAUAUGUGGAAGAAGGCCCCGUGGCCGAGGGGGACUCCCCCGGUUUUGCCCCCCACACUGGGGGGUAAAAACCGGGAGGAGCCCCAGGAAUAGAGGGCCCUGUCCAACACCGCCGAAAAUUAUGAGUGCUAAGGGGAAAGAGGGUUUUCGCUUUUGAGGGCUGAAGCUCCCCGCAUUGACGAGCCCCCCCCCCGAGAAUACCGCGGCAUGUCUUUAACUCAUGUGUAUUAGACGGGGGCCCCCGCAUUUGCGCCGAAAAAUGUCGAUAUAAUACGUACGCCCCGCGAAGUAUCUCUCCCGGGUGGUGGACAUCAAAU
RNAcentral lists this ribosomal RNA (1000 nucleotides) under Bacillus cereus. RNAcentral's name for it is "partial 16S ribosomal RNA". It matches the Rfam family "Bacterial small subunit ribosomal RNA", at positions 34 to 992 of the family's 1533-position model. The record is from RNAcentral. Lineage: Bacteria; Bacillati; Bacillota; Bacilli; Caryophanales; Bacillaceae.